RNAcentral lists this ribosomal RNA (425 nucleotides) under uncultured bacterium. Its description in RNAcentral is "partial 16S ribosomal RNA". It matches the Rfam family "Bacterial small subunit ribosomal RNA", at positions 354 to 796 of the family's 1533-position model. The record is from RNAcentral.
GUAAGGAAUAUUGGACAAUGGGGGAAACCCUGAUCCAGCCAUGCCGCGUGAGUGAAGAAGGCCUUCGGGUUGUAAAACUCUUUCAGAUGUGAAGAUGAUGACGGUAACAUCAGAAGAAGCUCCGGCUAACUUCGUGCCAGCAGCCGCGGUAAUACGAAGGGAGCGAGCGUUGUUCGGAAUCACUGGGCGUAAAGAGUGCGUAGGCGGUUAUACAAGUCAGGAGUGAAAUCCCAGAGCUUAACUUUGGAAUUGCUUUUGAAACUGUAUAGCUAGAGUCCCGGAGGGGUUAAUGGAAUUCCGAGUGUAGAGGUGAAAUUCGCAGAUAUUCGGAGGAACACCAGUGGCGAAGGCGAUUAACUGGACGGGCACUGACGCUGAGGCACGAAAGCGUGGGGAUCAAACAGGAUUAGAUACCCGAGUAGUCC